GCAACAACCUUGUCUCCCAGUCAUUGUAAUCUGUAUCAGAGAGCACCAUUAGAUGAAUGAAGAUGGAAAUGUUCUCAUGGUCGGCAGGGAUACGAAAAGACCGAAGAGGAGGGAGAAUGUUGAAACACAAGCGCCAGAGAGAUGAUGGGGAGGGCAGGGGUGAAGUGGGGUCUGCUGGAGACAUGAGAGCUGCCAACCUUUGGCCAAGCCCGCUCAUGAUCAAACACUCUAAGAAGAACAGCCCGGCCUUGUCCCUGACGGCCGACCAGAUGGUCAGUGCCUUGUUGGAUGCUGAGCCCCCCAUACUGUAUUCCGAGUAUGAUCCUACCAGACCCUUCAGUGAGGCUUCGAUGAUGGGCUUACUGACCAACCUGGCAGACAGGGAGCUGGUUCACAUGAUCAACUGGGCAAAGAGGGUGCCAGGCUUUGUGGAUUUGACCCUCCAUGAUCAGGUCCACCUUCUAGAAUGUGCCUGGCUAGAGAUCCUGAUGAUUGGUCUCGUCUGGCGCUCCAUGGAGCACCCAGGGAAGCUCCUGUUUGCUCCUAACUUGCUCUUGGACAGGAACCAGGGAAAAUGUGUAGAGGGCAUGGUGGAGAUCUUCGACAUGCUGCUGGCUACAUCAUCUCGGUUCCGCAUGAUGAAUCUGCAGGGAGAGGAGUUUGUGUGCCUCAAAUCUAUUAUUUUGCUUAAUUCUGGAGUGUACACAUUUCUGUCCAGCACCCUGAAGUCUCUGGAAGAGAAGGACCAUAUCCACCGAGUCCUGGACAAGAUCACAGACACUUUGAUCCACCUGAUGGCCAAGGCAGGCCUGACCCUGCAGCAGCAGCACCGGCGGCUGGCCCAGCUCCUCCUCAUCCUCUCCCACAUCAGGCACAUGAGUAACAAAGGCAUGGAGCAUCUGUACAGCAUGAAGUGCAAGAACGUGGUGCCUCUCUAUGACCUGCUGCUAGAGAUGCUGGACGCCCACCGCCUGCAUGCGCCCACUAGCCGUGGAGGGGCGCCCGUGGAGGAGACGGACCAAAGCCACUUGGCCACCGCGGGCUCUACUUCAUCGCAUUCCUUGCAAAAGACAUAACCGGUGCUGGGAAAUAUGGACUCUUCUCUGUGUCAAAGGCCCAGUGGUGACUGCUUUUAAUGAGUCAUUAAACAAGAACCAACCCAAAUGCCCAUCAAUGAUAGACUGGAUAAAGAAAAUGUGGCAUGUA
RNAcentral lists this small RNA (1206 nucleotides) under Pongo abelii (Sumatran orangutan). RNAcentral's name for it is "processed transcript". Lineage: Eukaryota; Metazoa; Chordata; Mammalia; Primates; Hominidae. The record is from RNAcentral.